GACGAACGCUGGCGGCGUGCUUAACACAUGCAAGUCGAACGGAAAGGCCCUGCUUUUGUGGGGUGCUCGAGUGGCGAACGGGUGAGUAACACGUGAGUAACCUGCCCUUGACUUUGGGAUAACUUCAGGAAACUGGGGCUAAUACCGGAUAGGAGCUCCUGCUGCAUGGUGGGGGUUGGAAAGUUUCGGCGGUUGGGGAUGGACUCGCGGCUUAUCAGCUUGUUGGUGGGGUAGUGGCUUACCAAGGCUUUGACGGGUAGCCGGCCUGAGAGGGUGACCGGCCACAUUAGGACUGAGAUGCGACCCAGACUACUACGGGAGGCAGCGGUGGAGAGUAUUGCACAGUGGGCGGAAGCCUGAUGCAGCAACGCCACGUGCGGGGUAACAGGCUUCGGGUUGUAAACCGCUUUCGCCUGUGACGAGGCGUGAGUGACGGUAAUGGGUAAAGAAGCACCGGCUAACUACGUG
RNAcentral lists this ribosomal RNA (468 nucleotides) under uncultured bacterium. RNAcentral's name for it is "partial 16S ribosomal RNA". It matches the Rfam family "Bacterial small subunit ribosomal RNA", at positions 28 to 507 of the family's 1533-position model. The record is from RNAcentral.